GUGCUCGCUUCAGCAGCACGUAUACUAAAAUUGGAAUGAUAGAAGAUUAGCAUAGCCCCGGCACAAACAUGACAUGCAAAUUCAUGGAGCAUUCCAUAUUUUU
Molecule: small nuclear RNA, 103 nt
Filed under: Tupaia belangeri (northern tree shrew)
Lineage: Eukaryota; Metazoa; Chordata; Mammalia; Scandentia; Tupaiidae
Source: RNAcentral